GGAAACGAAUUAUAUUCCUGUGUCCGCUGGAAAACUGGGCUCGCUGGACGAAGAACAGAAAGAGAUGGAUGCAUACUGCGUCCGCUGGGAGACUGAGGCUCGCUGGACGGACAGAGGAAACAAAUAGGUAUUUACAGUGUCCGCUGGGAGACUGAGGCUCGCUGGACAGGUAGAGGAAAAAUAGAUAUUUACUGCAUCCGUUGAGAGACUAGUGCUCGCUGGACAGACAGAGAAACAAAUAGAUAUUACUGCGUCCGCUGUGAGGCUAAGGCUCGCUGGACAGACAGGGGAAACCAAUAGAUAUUUCUGUGUCCGCUGGGAGACUAGUGCUCGCUGGACAGACAGGGGAAACCAAUAGAUAUUUUCUGUGUCCGCUGGGAGACUAAGGCUCGCUGGACAGACAGAGGAACAAAAUAGAUGUUUACUGCGUCCGCUGUGAGACUAGUGCUCGCUGGACUGACAGAGGAGACAAAUAGGUAUUUUCUGCGUCCGCUGGGAGACUAAAGCUCGCUGGACAGACAGAGGAAACAAUUAGAUAUUUACUGCACCCGCUGAGAGACUAGUGCUCACUGGACAGACAGGGGAAACCAAUAGAUAUUUCUGUGUCCGCUGGGAGACUAGUGCUCGCUGGACAGACAGGGGAAACCAAUAGAUAUUUUCUGUUCCGCUGGGAGACUGAGGCUCGCUGGACAGACAGAGGAAACAAAUAGAUAUUCCUGCGUCUGCUGAGAG
This is a long non-coding RNA of Carassius carassius (crucian carp), 732 nucleotides long. RefSeq lists it as uncharacterized. The transcript is spliced from 3 exons. NCBI's taxonomy places the organism in Eukaryota, Metazoa, Chordata, Actinopteri, Cypriniformes, Cyprinidae. The record is from RefSeq and is a predicted model, not a curated record.